This 114-nucleotide ribosomal RNA is filed under the name uncultured bacterium. RNAcentral's name for it is "partial 16S ribosomal RNA". It matches the Rfam family "Bacterial small subunit ribosomal RNA", at positions 1387 to 1500 of the family's 1533-position model. The record is from RNAcentral.
ACACCGCCCGUCACACCAUGGGAGUCGGAAAUGCCCGAAGUCUGUGACCUAACCGAGAGGGAGGAGCAGCCGAAGGCAGGUCUGAUGACUGGGGUGAAGUCGUAACAAGGUACC